UACGUAGGGUGCGAGCGUUAAUCGGAAUUACUGGGCGUAAAGCGUGCGCAGGCGGCUUCGCAAGUCAGACGUGAAAUCCCCGGGCUUAACCUGGGAAUGGCGUUUGAAACUACGGAGCUGGAGUGUGGCAGAGGAAGGUGGAAUUCCACGUGUAGCGGUGAAAUGCGUAGAGAUGUGGAGGAACACCGAUGGCGAAGGCAGCCUUCUGGGCCAACACUGACGCUCAUGCACGAAAGCGUGGGGAGCAAACAGG
Molecule: ribosomal RNA, 253 nt
Filed under: uncultured bacterium
Lineage: Bacteria
Description: partial 16S ribosomal RNA
Rfam family: Bacterial small subunit ribosomal RNA
Source: RNAcentral